GGCUUAUUGAUAUAUAAUUUUAGGUCAGGCCUGCCCACUGAAUGAUUGAAUGGCCGCGGUAUUUUGACUGUGCAAAGGUAGCGUAAUCAUUAGUUUUUUAAUUGAAAGCUUGAAUGAAAGGUUUAAUGAAAAAAUUCCUGUUUCAAUAAAAACUUAUUUGAAUUUUAUUUUUAAGUGAAAAAGCUUAAAUUUAUAUAAAAGACGAGAAGACCCUAUAGAGUUUUAUAUUUAAUAGAAAUUAAAUUUUAAGAAUUUAAAGAUUUAAUUUUUAAAAAAGUAUUUUAUUGGGGUGAUAGAAAAAUUAAAUUAACUUUUUUUAUUUUGUAACAUUUAUUUAUGAAUAUGUGAUCCUAAAAUUUAGAUUGAAAGUUUAAAUUACCUUAGGGAUAACAGCGUAAUUUUUUCUAGAGUUCUUAUCGAAGAAAAAGUUUGCGACCUCGAUGUUGGAUUAAAUUUUAUUAGUGGUGUAGAAGUUACUAAAUUAGGUCUGUUCGACCUUUAAAAAUUUACAUGAUCUGAGUUUAGACCGGUGUGAG
RNAcentral lists this ribosomal RNA (536 nucleotides) under Trigonopterus sp. 909 AR-2022a. RNAcentral describes it as "partial large subunit ribosomal RNA". It matches the Rfam family "Bacterial large subunit ribosomal RNA", at positions 1825 to 2625 of the family's 2925-position model. Lineage: Eukaryota; Metazoa; Arthropoda; Insecta; Coleoptera; Curculionidae. The record is from RNAcentral.